GAUGAAGAACGUAGCGAAAUGCGAUAAGUAAUGUGAAUUGCAGAAUUCAGUGAAUCAUCGAAUCUUUGAACGCACAUUGCGCCCAUUAGUAUUCUAGUGGGCAUGCCUGUUCGAGCGUCAUUAAUUCCACUUAAGCCCUGCUUAGUGUUGGGAAUCUACCCUAGUGGUGCUACCCUGGAGCUACCCCUGAAAGGGGGCUGGCCCGGUAGCUACCCUGUAGUUCCUCAAAGAUAGUGCGCGGAGUUGCGUGGUCCUCUGAGCUUAGUAACUAUACACCUAGCUUUUGAGUGUCCCGCGGCGCCUGCCGUUUAAACCCCAUCUUUUAAUGGUUGACCUCGGAUCAGGUAGGAAUACCCGCUGAACUUAAGCAUAUCAAUAAGCGGAGGA
RNAcentral lists this unclassified non-coding RNA (387 nucleotides) under soil metagenome. RNAcentral's name for it is "partial contains 5.8S ribosomal RNA, internal transcribed spacer 2, and large subunit ribosomal RNA". The stretch from base 1 to 120 matches the Rfam family "5.8S ribosomal RNA", at positions 35 to 154 of the family's 154-position model. The record is from RNAcentral.